Molecule: long non-coding RNA, 454 nt
Organism: Talpa occidentalis (Iberian mole)
Lineage: Eukaryota; Metazoa; Chordata; Mammalia; Eulipotyphla; Talpidae
Exons: 3
Source: RefSeq, a predicted model, not a curated record
ACUGCUCCAGACUGGAGACCGAGUCUGUCACCCCGGCACUGCCACUAAGAUUGGCCUAGGCCAUCUCUGUGAGAUGAGGAUUCUAAAACAUCAGCAAGAAACCACCAGUGAUGAAUGUGAUUCCAAGGAGAACUUCCAAAGGUAUCUGGGCCUCCUUCAGAGAAAUCCACGGGCAUUGGCUGCAUCCUUGUCGGCAGGUUAACAAAGGCCACAUGAUCCACAGUGCUUAGCUGAGUCCACAGCUCCACAGUCCCAGCUGAGUCCAGACUUUGAGUCAUUUCAGCCCAAGCACGAGACGUGAGUGAAAGAGCCUAGAUGAUUCCGAACCCCAAACCUUCAUAUCUUCUCAACUGAGACCCCAGACAUCAUGCAGUAGAGACACAAGGCAUCAUACUACCAUGCUCUGUCCAAAUCUCCAGCCCAUGGAAACUUCCAGCAUAAUAAAAUGGUUGUU